UACGUAGGGGGCGAGCGUUGUCCGGAAUUAUUGGGCGUAUAGGGUUCGUAGGCGGUAAUACAUGUCAGAUGUGAAAUCUUGUGGCUUAACCACAUCAAGCAUCUGAAACUGUAUAACUUGAGUGGAGGAGAGGUAAGUGGAAUUCCUAGUGUAGCGGUGAAAUGCGUAGAUAUUAGGAAGAAUACCAGUAGCGAAGGCGACUUACUGGCCUCUAACUGACGCUGAUGAACGAAAGCGUAGGUAGCAAACAGGAUUAGAUACCCU
Molecule: ribosomal RNA, 264 nt
Filed under: uncultured prokaryote
Description: partial 16S ribosomal RNA
Rfam family: Bacterial small subunit ribosomal RNA
Source: RNAcentral